UAUGACCACAUCACAUUGAAACACUGGUUCUCAUACGAUCACGGAAGUUGAGCAACAUUGAAUCUGGUCAGUACCUAGAUGGUUAAUCUCUUGGGAAUACCAGGUGCAGUAAG
This is a non-coding RNA of Acanthosepion pharaonis, 113 nucleotides long. NCBI's taxonomy places the organism in Eukaryota, Metazoa, Mollusca, Cephalopoda, Sepiida, Sepiidae. The record is from the annotation of a GenBank genome assembly.